Long non-coding RNA from Gorilla gorilla gorilla (western lowland gorilla), 869 nucleotides. RefSeq lists it as uncharacterized. Lineage: Eukaryota; Metazoa; Chordata; Mammalia; Primates; Hominidae. The record is from RefSeq and is a predicted model, not a curated record. The transcript is spliced from 2 exons.
GCGAUUCUGCAGCACUCAGCCGCGCGCCCGGCUAGUCCCGCCUGGCCCCAGCUACACGUCAGCAGCCGACGCCUCCGCGCAGGCGCACAGGGCGCGGCUACAGCAACUACUUCCUUCGCAACCCGUUGGUAGGGAGAAGGACGCCUCAGCCACUAGGCUGCUUCCGGUGUGUCACUGAACACUUUCCCGGUCCCAGCAGCUGGAGGAUUUGUGUUUGGUAGCACCUGGGGGAUGGCUCUGUCCCGGGCGCACUUAGGCGGGGUGUGCGGAGCGCUUUACCUUCCACAGUGUCCGGCACACGCAUCCUUUUCGACAUCAUCACUUGACCUGCUGCAAUAGACCAAGUCUUGCUGUGUUGCCCAGGCCAGAGUGCAGUGGUGCAAUCUCUGCUCAGUGCAACCUCCACCUCUUGGGUUCAAGUGAUCAUUCUGCCUCAGGCUCCUGACUAAUUGGGAUUACAGGCAUGCACCACCACACCGGCUAAUGUUUGUAUUUUCAGUGGAGACGGGGUUUUACCAUGUUGGCCAGGCUGGUCUCAAACUCCUGACCUCAGGUGAUUCGCCUUCCCUCAGCCUCCCAAAGUGCUGGGUUUACAGGCGUGAGCCACCGCCCGGCCUCAUGUCAUCAAAAGAAGAGAAAACAGAGGCACAAGAGAAGAUGACCACAGAAGACAGAGGCAGAGGCUGGGGUUAUGCUACCACAAACCGGAGAAUGCCAAGGAUUGCUGGCAACCACCAGGAGCCUGGGGAGAGGCGUGGAACCCCUCCUCCCUCAGAGGCCCCAGAAGGAUCCAACCCUGCUAAUACCUUGAUUUUAGACUUCCCACCCCCAGAACUGUGAGAAAAUAAAUUUCUAGCUGCUUUAAGCCA